ACUGGCCUCCACUGCUAAAACCUCCAAAAAGCUCCCAAGGUCCAUUUGUAGGAGAACAUAGGGUAAUCAAAUUUCCAAGACCCCAGACACAUCCAGAUGAGAUGCUGCAAGUGGCAGUCUGCCUUUCUUU
This 130-nucleotide small nuclear RNA is filed under the name Ailuropoda melanoleuca (giant panda). RNAcentral describes it as "7SK RNA". It matches the Rfam family "7SK RNA", at positions 201 to 331 of the family's 331-position model. From Rfam's summary of the family: 7SK was discovered as an abundant small nuclear RNA in the mid-70s but a possible function has only recently been suggested. Two independent studies have found that 7SK RNA binds the CDK9/cyclin T complex (known as elongation factor P-TEFb). The record is from Rfam by way of RNAcentral. Lineage: Eukaryota; Metazoa; Chordata; Mammalia; Carnivora; Ursidae.